RNAcentral lists this ribosomal RNA (490 nucleotides) under uncultured bacterium. RNAcentral describes it as "partial 16S ribosomal RNA". It matches the Rfam family "Bacterial small subunit ribosomal RNA", at positions 30 to 507 of the family's 1533-position model. The record is from RNAcentral.
AUUGAACGCUGGCGGCAUGCCUUACGCAUGCAAGUCGAACGGCAGCAUGAUCUAGCUUGCUAGAUUGAUGGCGAGUGGCGAACGGGUGAGUAAUACAUCGGAACGUGCCCUGUAGUGGGGGAUAACUAGUCGAAAGAUUAGCUAAUACCGCAUACGACCUGAGGGUGAAAGUGGGGGACCGCAAGGCCUCAUGCUAUAGGAGCGGCCGAUGUCUGAUUAGCUAGUUGGUGAGGUAAAGGCUCACCAAGGCGACGAUCAGUAGCUGGUCUGAGAGGACGAUCAGCCACACUGGGACUGAGACACGGCCCAGACUCCUACGGGAGGCAGCAGUGGGGAAUUUUGGACAAUGGGCGAAAGCCUGAUCCAGCAAUGCCGCGUGUGUGAAGAAGGCCUUCGGGUUGUAAAGCACUUUUGUCCGGAAAGAAAUGGCUCUGGUUAAUACCUGGGGUCGAUGACGGUACCGGAAGAAUAAGGACCGGCUAACUACGUG